Molecule: long non-coding RNA, 341 nt
Filed under: Sorghum bicolor (sorghum)
Lineage: Eukaryota; Viridiplantae; Streptophyta; Magnoliopsida; Poales; Poaceae
Description: long non-coding RNA (SBIC_LNC000373)
Source: RNAcentral
GCCCAAUACACGAGAGGGGGACUAUAUAAGAAUCAAUGAAGCUGUCACUAUCACGAACCACCCCACGAUCUGGCAUAUUGGGUACAAUCGCAGAUAAAUACGGUAUAAGCACCACGCCUACACAAUAUCUAUCAUUUACCCAUGGAUCCGAUGGAUAAACGCUAUACGAUCCUAAGCAUGUAUAUAUAUCCAAUCUAACUAAGCCAAGUACAUAACUAUGAUAAACUAAGAACAAUAUAAUCUUGAAUAUAAGCAAGUAGAGCAAAGUCAUAAGCAAUAUAUUGAAGUAGAACAAAGUCAUAUUCAUAAUAUUGAAGAACAAAGAUAAUUAGAAAGCAAUU